Molecule: ribosomal RNA, 242 nt
Filed under: uncultured bacterium
Lineage: Bacteria
Description: partial 16S ribosomal RNA
Rfam family: Bacterial small subunit ribosomal RNA
Source: RNAcentral
GCAAGUCGAACGGUAACAGGUAUUUCGGUAUGCUGACGAGUGGCGGACGGGUGAGUAACGCGUAGGAAUCUACCUAUCUGUGGGGGAUACCGUUUGGAAACGAACGUUAAUACCGCAUAAUAUCUUAGGAUUAAAAGUGGCACUUGUGCUGCUGCGGAUAGAUGAGCCUGCGUUAGAUUAGCUUGUUGGUGGGGUAAAGGCCUACCAAGGCUACGAUCUAUAGCUGAUUUGAGAGGAUGAUC